Molecule: long non-coding RNA, 249 nt
Filed under: Brassica napus (rape)
Lineage: Eukaryota; Viridiplantae; Streptophyta; Magnoliopsida; Brassicales; Brassicaceae
Description: long non-coding RNA (BNAP_LNC005987)
Source: RNAcentral
AGAGAACAAGAAGUUGUUUUAUAGAGAACAUGAAGGAGAAUACGUAUCUCCAUAAUCCGUGACUACACAAGCAAACAAAAUAGUAGACAAGACUACACUACUCAAACAAGCAAAAGAGUAGACAAGACUACACAACACAAGACAACAAAAGAGUAGACAACACUACACAACACAAGUCCGUGAAACUGAGUAUCAAACAUCCAUGACUCUUCAAGUCCGUGACUCUUCCACAGUACACACGUCCGUGAC